Molecule: long non-coding RNA, 1630 nt
Filed under: Gossypium barbadense (sea-island cotton)
Lineage: Eukaryota; Viridiplantae; Streptophyta; Magnoliopsida; Malvales; Malvaceae
Description: long non-coding RNA (GBAR_LNC006743)
Source: RNAcentral
GGAGAGAAGGGAACAUCAAAUUUGCACCAACAUACAAGUAUUCUUCAUCAAAUUGCAAUCGUUACUCGGGUGGCCUUCCCAACAGAUCAGGAGAGAAACAAAGGACUCCAGCAUGGUAUAUGUUUUGCAAUCAACUACCUGUUACAGAAUUGAUUUCUUAUCACUACUACAAUAGACAAUCAGGCACAUCGUCACCAUAUAUAAACUAUUUCCAAGUUUUUUCAUAUACGUCCGAAUAUGUCGAAAGAAUGCCUGCUAGACAUAGGUGCUAGACAUGAAUGGUUAAGAAAAAUGAAGAGUUCUUGUAACAUAAUAUAUAAGACCUGGAUUUAUGAUAAGCUUACUAGCAUGAUCGAUGUAUGUGUCUGGUCGCAGGUGUGAUAGAAUUCUGUGGUAUGGAAAAGGAGUGAAACUUUUAUCUUACUUUCGCAGUGAAAGUAAGUUUUCUGAUCAUCGGCCUGUCUCUGCCCAAUUCUCAACACAGAUAGAAGUCAUGAAAUCCACCAAUUCAAGAUUUCUAGACAAGGAAACCAAUUUUCAUAAUAUUAUGCCUCCAGAACAGAUUGUAAGUUCUCCUCAUUCUUACCAUAGAAUGACAUUCUAUGUCUUCCUACAUAGUAACACUAAUGCAUGCAUACUUCAGUAAGUUUUGAAUUAAGUUUGGCAAAUCUGCAUAUAACAUCAUGCAUGAUAGAUAGUGUUUUCAUUGCAGGGACCAAGCAUAAACAAAGAAGAAGGCAAACCUACAUUACUAUCUUUGAUUGUAAAGGAUACAGAAUCAUCUUCAACACAUAUGCAAGUAGAUACAAAUUAUUAAAGCAGAUUUGGCAGGCCUACAGCUAAAUUGUUUAACUAUAGGUCGGCUUUGAGGAGGCAUCAUUAUUUCGUAAUCUUCUUUCAUCUCUUACUUUUUGUCAGACAUGGUUAUAUGAAUUGGCUAUGAGUUGGAUGUAGAGAUGUAACCUAGUGCUUAUAAUACUAUAAAUGCAAAGAGAAGUUCCUAAUGAAUUGAUAAUUGAAUAAGAACUGCGACACAUCAAACCUCUUAUUCAGUAAAAUGAGAGAUUUUUGAAAGAGAAUAUUAAAGGUUCGAACAUUGCAAUCAUUCUCAGAUUUUGUCAAUAAGUAGCUGAAAUAGUUAUAUAUGAAAUUUUGUCAUGUAAAAAUGAGUUCAAAAAUGGCAUAAUCUUUCGCACCUUGUGCACUAACGAAUAGCAGAUACUAUGCCUUCAUCCCUUAUCUUGACUUUAUCAUAAAUGUUUAGUCCAAAAGUUGGUGUGCAAGUAAAAUUCAGAAAUAUCAACACCAUGGUUGCAAUGUUGGCAUGUCAAAGACUUACAACAGAUCAAUUUGCAUCAUUUGCUUGAAGAAUUCCACCCAAUUUCUCCACAUUAACUGAUUGACAACUGGGACAUAUACACCUCUUCUGCAACUCUUCACUGAAGGAAGCACAUGUCGUGUUCAGUUCAGAAGUCUGCUUGUUUCCAGUCAAGGAGGUAUUUGCAAGUAAUAGUUUUCAUCCACAGAAGAUGUUAAUGAAAAAGAUUAUAAAAGCCCGCAUAACUAUUCAAAUAUACUUCGCCUAACCUUGCUUGUAUUUAGAUUUAUAAAAUCUAUAUUUCCAGCAUUG